RNAcentral lists this ribosomal RNA (301 nucleotides) under uncultured bacterium. RNAcentral describes it as "partial 16S ribosomal RNA". It matches the Rfam family "Bacterial small subunit ribosomal RNA", at positions 509 to 807 of the family's 1533-position model. The record is from RNAcentral.
CAGCAGCCGCGGUAAUACGGAGGGCGCGAGCGUUACCCGGAUUUACUGGGCGUAAAGGGCGUGUAGGCGGCCUGGGGCGUCCCAUGUGAAAGGCCACGGCUCAACCGUGGAGGAGCGUGGGAUACGCUCAGGCUAGAGGGUGGGAGAGGGUGGUGGAAUUCCCGGAGUAGCGGUGAAAUGCGCAGAUACCGGGAGGAACGCCGAUGGCGAAGGCAGCCACCUGGUCCACUUCUGACGCUGAGGCGCGAAAGCGUGGGGAGCAAACCGGAUUAGAUACCCCGGUAGUCCCUGUCUCUUAUAC